RNAcentral lists this ribosomal RNA (1223 nucleotides) under uncultured Thermoplasmatales archaeon. RNAcentral describes it as "bacterial SSU rRNA". It matches the Rfam family "Archaeal small subunit ribosomal RNA", at positions 76 to 1302 of the family's 1478-position model. Lineage: Archaea; Methanobacteriati; Thermoplasmatota; Thermoplasmata; Thermoplasmatales. The record is from RNAcentral.
CCUCGGCGGACUGCUCAGUAACACGUGGAUAAUCUGCCCUUAGGUGGAGCAUAACCUCGGGAAACUGAGAAUAAUACUCCAUAGGUCUAGGAUGCUGGAAUGCGUCUAGGCUCAGAGAUUUAUCGCCUAAGGAUGAGUCUGCGGACUAUCAGGUUGUAGUCAGGGUAAAGUCCUGGCUAGCCUACGACGGAUACGGGUUGUGAGAGCAAUAACCCGGAGACGAUAUCUGAGACACGAUAUCGGGCCCUACGGGGCGCAGCAGGCGCGAAACCUUCACACUGUGCGAAAGCGCGAUGAGGGGAUCCCAAGUGCUUGCUCUUAGGAGUAAGCUGUUUUCCUGUUUAAAUCGCAGGAAGAGGAAGGGCUGGGUAAGACGGGUGCCAGCCGCCGCGGUAAUACCUGCAGCUCAAGUGGUGACCGCUAUUAUUGGGCCUAAAACGUCCGUAGCCGGCUGAGUAAAUGCCUGGGUAAAUCGUGCCGCUUAACGGUACGAAUUCCGGGUAGACUGCUUAGCUUGAGACCGGGGAGAAGCUAGAGGUACUCCUGGGGUAGAGGUGAAAUUCUGUAAUCCUGGGGGGACCACCAGUGGCGAAAGCGUCUAGCUAGAACGGGUCUGACGGUGAGGGACGAAACCCUGGGGCGCGAACCGGAUUAGAUACCCGGGUAGUCCAGGGCGCAAACGCUGCUUGCUUGAUGUUAGCUGGGCUCCGAGCUCAGCUAGUGUCGGAGAGAAGUUGUUAAGCAAGCUGCCUGGGAAGUACGAUCGCAAGAUUGAAACUUAAAGGAAUUGGCGGGGGAGCACAGCAACGGGUGGAGCGUGCGGUUUAAUUGGAUUCAACGCCGGAAAACUCACCGGAGGCGACGGUUACAUGAAGGCCAGGCUGAUGACCUUGCCUGAUUUUCCGAGAGGUGGUGCAUGGCCGCCGUCAGUUCGUACCGUAAGGCGUUCUGUUAAGUCAGAUAACGAACGAGACCCUCAUCCUUAAUUGCUACUAAUAACUCCGGUUAUUAGGCACAUUAAGGAGACCGCUGACGAUAAGUCAGAGGAAGGCGAGGGCAACGGUAGGUCAGUAUGCCCUGAAUCCUCCGGGCUACACGCGCGCUACAAAGGCCAGGACAAUGGGCUUCGACACCGAAAGGUGAAGGUAAUCCCGAAACCUGGUCAUAGUUCGGAUUGAGGGUUGCAACUCACCCUCAUGAAGCUGGAAUCCGUAGUAAUCGCG